CCCAAAACGAGACAGAAAGAGCAAAAUCCUUCCUGUGGUGGAGCUGCUGUGGGAGGAGAGCUCUUGCCUUCUGGAAGAGGAAGCAACCUUUGCAGCUGUGAAACCUGAGAGAACAAUGGAGGUUGUGUAGACCAGAAGUUACAGGGGGCUGCUCUCAGGGCUUGAUGCCAGAGAUGUCCCACAGCAGCAAUCUUUUCUCUGUAAUAAAUUCUAAACUUCUCUUGACCUUAUUGCUGCAUUCUGGGCUGAAAUACAUCUGAACAACUGAUGGGAGGCUGAAUUUGAACUCAGCUUUUUAUUCCUGCCUUAGCCAUGCAGUGGAAGAACAUCUCAUACCACACCCUCCAUCUUGCUGUUGUGAAUUAAGUUGCUUUUUCAAGUGGUUCCUCACAUGCAGAUAUGUGCAAAAAUUGGAACUGAAUUAUUACUUUGUCCUCAGAGAAUUAAAACCUUUAAAAAUGCCUGCUUCUUGCCAAAUGAGACGUAAGAUCCUGAUUUACACCAUCAGUUUUCUAUACAUUGCAAGACAAAGGUGUUCAGGCUUUGGGACAUCUGUGCAGCUGGUGCUGGCUGUCAGCUGGAGGUACAACGACUGAUACUGAACUGAUAAGGCUGGCUCUAAGUGGUGGCUUUGAGGGGAUGGUCUAGGCUAUGUUAGCUGUGUCCUCCAGGGUAGCAUUCCUCUGAUCUAAAAUAUAUCCCCUGAAUGUGUUUUUGUGAGCUGAAUGAUGAUUUGCACAGAGU
RNAcentral lists this long non-coding RNA (744 nucleotides) under Cyanistes caeruleus (blue tit). Its description in RNAcentral is "lncRNA (ENSCCEG00000004339.1)". Lineage: Eukaryota; Metazoa; Chordata; Aves; Passeriformes; Paridae. The record is from RNAcentral.